AUGGUGGCCGCGGUGUGGUCACUGAUGAGGUUCCUCAUCACGGGCGGUGUGGCUGGAGGCGCGUCGACCUGAUGUAUGGCCAGGAGCUGCUGGGGCCCAGCAACAAGAGCCGAGCGCCCCUACGGAAGGCUGGAGAGGUGGUUCCCCGCCACGUACCAGUUCAGCCAGUACGUGUGUCAGCAGACAGGCCUGCAGAUACCCCAGCUCCCAGCCCCUCCAAAGCCUUCCUUUCCCCUCCAUGACUCCUGGAAUGCAGGUAUCAUCACAGCUCUGUAGGCCCCUCCCAGGCCCGCGACACUCCAAGGAGGGCUGGGAGUACGUGGAGUCGCGCAG
This 333-nucleotide long non-coding RNA is filed under the name Homo sapiens (human). RNAcentral's name for it is "non-protein coding lnc-TIMM22-3:1". The record is from RNAcentral. Lineage: Eukaryota; Metazoa; Chordata; Mammalia; Primates; Hominidae.